This is a long non-coding RNA of Myotis brandtii (Brandt's bat), 101 nucleotides long. RefSeq lists it as uncharacterized. The transcript has 3 exons. Lineage: Eukaryota; Metazoa; Chordata; Mammalia; Chiroptera; Vespertilionidae. The record is from RefSeq and is a predicted model, not a curated record.
GAUGAUUCAGCCCUGCUGACAUGCUGGAAUUAGCUUCCGGCAUUGCCCACCCUGGACAGCUGAGGUUUAGUAGUAUACAUCCCAAACUUAGAAGACUGGAG